This 429-nucleotide long non-coding RNA is filed under the name Citrus sinensis (sweet orange). RNAcentral's name for it is "long non-coding RNA (CSIN_LNC003296)". The record is from RNAcentral. Lineage: Eukaryota; Viridiplantae; Streptophyta; Magnoliopsida; Sapindales; Rutaceae.
AUGUCUGCUUUGGAGCCCCCAGUGAAGGACAAGCUGUCAAAAUAUCAAGUGUAAUAGUUCCCUGGUCUUUGGUGCUGACUUGUCUUCAGUAUGUGAUUCUUCAAAUUUGUGCAUCGGCAAUGCUUCUGUCGGUUAUUCUGCAUUCCCUGAUGAUAUCGGAGGUGUCAUUCAUUUAAGCAUAUAUCAAAGUUUUGGCCAAAAUUUUUUCAGGCAUGACAGUAUAGUCACCUUAAUCAUUAAAGCUUGAAGUUGCUAUCCUCUCCAAACAUUUAUAUAUGCAUCGGUCCUCCCCCGCAGCAUUGGGUCUUAAGAAAUGAAGCAACCUGAGGUUUGAAUGUGGAUAUGUACAGGGUGCAGCUUUUCAAGCUUUUGGGAGUAUUUAUCUUAGCGUUUAGUGUUUCAAGGGUGACCAAAAGUAUUAAUUAAGGC